Molecule: unclassified non-coding RNA, 353 nt
Filed under: soil metagenome
Description: partial contains 5.8S ribosomal RNA, internal transcribed spacer 2, and large subunit ribosomal RNA
Rfam family: 5.8S ribosomal RNA (bases 1-120)
Source: RNAcentral
GAUGAAGAACGUAGUGAAAUGCGAUAAGUAAUGUGAAUUGCAGAAUUCAGUGAAUCAUCGAAUCUUUGAACGCACAUUGCGCCCGCCAGUAUUCUGGCGGGUAUGCCUGUUCGAGCGUCAUUACAACCCUCAGGCCCCCGGGCCUGGCGUUGGGGAUCGGCGGAAGCCCCCUGCGGGCACAACGCCGUCCCCCAAAUACAGUGGCGGUCCCGCCGCAGCUUCCAUUGCGUAGUAGCUAACACCUCGCAACUGGAGAGCGGCGCGGCCACGCCGUAAAACACCCAACUUCUGAAUGUUGACCUCGAAUCAGGUAGGAAUACCCGCUGAACUUAAGCAUAUCAAUAAGCGGAGGA